GCUUUCGUAGUUUAAUUGGAAACACGUGUAGCUAGCAAUUACAAAGUCCGGAGUUCGAAUCCUGGCCAGAGUA
This 73-nucleotide transfer RNA is filed under the name Stegodyphus mimosarum. It matches the Rfam family "tRNA". From Rfam's summary of the family: Transfer RNA (tRNA) molecules are approximately 80 nucleotides in length. Their secondary structure includes four short double-helical elements and three loops (D, anti-codon, and T loops). Further hydrogen bonds mediate the characteristic L-shaped molecular structure. tRNAs have two regions of fundamental functional importance: the anti-codon, which is responsible for specific mRNA codon recognition, and the 3' end, to which the tRNAs corresponding amino acid is attached (by aminoacyl-tRNA synthetases). tRNAs cope with the degeneracy of the genetic code in two manners: having more than one tRNA (with a specific anti-codon) for a particular amino acid; and 'wobble' base-pairing, i.e. permitting non-standard base-pairing at the 3rd anti-codon position. Lineage: Eukaryota; Metazoa; Arthropoda; Arachnida; Araneae; Eresidae. The record is from Rfam by way of RNAcentral.